CCCAAGGAUGGGGCCGCGGCCGAUCAGGUUGUUGGUGAGGUAACGGCUCACCAAGCCUUUAACCGGUGCGGGCCGUGGGAGCGGGAGCCCGGAGAUGGGCACUGAGACAAGGGCCCAGGCCCUACGGGGCGCAGCAGUCGCGAAAACUUCGCAAUAAGCGAAAGCUUGACGGGGCUAUCCCGAGUGCCAUCCGCUGAGGAUGGCUUUUCCCUAGUAUAGAUAGCUGGGGGAAAAAGGAGAGGGCAAGUCUGGUGUCAGCCGCCGCGGUAAUACCAGCUCUCCGAGUGGUGGGGAUGAUUAUUGGGCCUAAAGCACCCGUAGCCGGUUCGGUGAGUCCUCUGUCAAAUCCAACCGCUCAACGGUUGGCUCGCAGAGGAUACUGCCGGACUAGGAGGCGGGAGAGGCGGACGGUACUCCGCGUGUAGGGGUAAAAUCCUUUGAUCCGCGGAAGACCACCAGUGGCGAAGGCGGUCUGCCAGAACGCGCUCGACGGUGAGGGGUGAAAGCUGGGGGAGCGAACCGGAUUAGAUACCCGGGUAGUCCCAGCUGUAAACGAU
This 557-nucleotide ribosomal RNA is filed under the name uncultured archaeon. RNAcentral's name for it is "bacterial SSU rRNA". It matches the Rfam family "Archaeal small subunit ribosomal RNA", at positions 202 to 761 of the family's 1478-position model. The record is from RNAcentral.